UAUGGAGGGGGCUAGCGUUGUUCGGAAUUACUGGGCGUAAAGCGCACGUAGGCGGAUCAGUCAGUCAGAGGUGAAAUCCCAGGGCUCAACCCUGGAACUGCCUUUGAUACUGCUGGUCUAGAGAUCAUGAGAGGUGAGUGGAAUUCCGAGUGUAGAGGUGAAAUUCGUAGAUAUUCGGAGGAACACCAGUGGCGAAGGCGGCUCACUGGCAUGAUACUGACGCUGAGGUGCGAAAGUGUGGGGAGCAAACAGG
This 253-nucleotide ribosomal RNA is filed under the name uncultured bacterium. RNAcentral's name for it is "partial 16S ribosomal RNA". It matches the Rfam family "Bacterial small subunit ribosomal RNA", at positions 524 to 776 of the family's 1533-position model. The record is from RNAcentral.